This 467-nucleotide ribosomal RNA is filed under the name uncultured bacterium. Its description in RNAcentral is "bacterial SSU rRNA". It matches the Rfam family "Bacterial small subunit ribosomal RNA", at positions 338 to 795 of the family's 1533-position model. The record is from RNAcentral.
CCUACGGGUGGCACCAGUGAGGAAUUUUGCGCAAUGGGGGAAACCCUGACGCAGCAACGCCGCGUGAGUGAAGAAGGCCCUCGGGUCGUAAAGCUCUGUCAAGUGGGAAGAACCCUUCCGUGGUUAACAGCCACAGGAAGCUGACGGUACCACUGAAGGAAGCACCGGCUAACUCCGUGCCAGCAGCCGCGGUAAUACGGAGGGUGCAAGCGUUAUUCGGAAUUACUGGGCGUAAAGGGCGCGCAGGCGGCCUGUUAAGUCAGUUGUGAAAGCCCGGGGCUCAACCCCGGAAGUGCGGCUGAAACUGGCGGGCUUGAGUAUGGGAGAGGGAAGUGGAAUUCCUGGUGUAGCGGUGAAAUGCGUAGAUAUCAGGAGGAACACCAGUGGCGAAGGCGACUUCCUGGACCAAUACUGACGCUGAGGCGCGAAGGCGUGGGGAGCAAACAGGAUUAGAUGCCCCAGUAGUC